AUGAAAACAAUGGAAAUUCUGGCUGAUAUGAAAGCAAAUGAUCCUGACUUCAAUUACACCGUGCAAGUAGAUGAAGACAGCAGGAUAAAAACACUCAUGUGGGUUACGAGUAGGGGGUGCGAUCAUUAUCGGUAUUUCGGUGAUGCAAUUACAUUUGACACAACAUACAGGACCAACCUAUAUGACAUGCUGUUUGGUCUCUUCGUUGGUGUCAACAAUCACUUUCAGAGUAUAAUCUUUGGAGGGGUCAUGAUGAGAGAUGAGAAAGAAGAAUCUUUCAAGUGGGUGUUCCGAGAGUUCAUACGUAUGGUUGGUGGGAAGCAUCCACAAACUAUACUUACAGAUCAAGUGCGCUCUAUGGAAAUUGCAAUCGAGGCAGAAAUGCCAAACACAGUACAUCAUUGGUGCAAGUGGCAUGUCCUGAAAAAAGCGAAAGAGUCAAUGGGUGUGCUUUGGAGCAAGAACAGUGAAUUCAAAAUGGAGUUUCACAAGCUUGUUCAUCACAUGACCACGGAAGAGGAAUUUGAGCAAGGGUGGCAGCAGAUGUUGGACAAGUACUCACUCAAGAAACAUCCGUUUCUGACACAGAUAUACGAAGUCCGGCAUAAAUGGGCUAAACCAUAUUUUAUGGGUGUCUUCUGUGCUAAAAUGACCAGCACCCAAAGGAGUGAGAGCGCAAAUCACCUUCUGAAGGGGUACGUGCCUCCAGGGUGUCCAAUGCAUCUGUUCCUCAAGCAAUUUGAGAAGCUUCAAUUUGACCGGCAAUCUGAAGAAAGCUUCCAGGAGAAAAGAACAUCACUGCCCAGAAAUCUAUGGAUAUAUAAUCAUGUUUGGAGGUUGGAGCCAGCACAUGACCGAUUAUAA
RNAcentral lists this ribosomal RNA (864 nucleotides) under Triticum aestivum (bread wheat). RNAcentral's name for it is "partial small subunit ribosomal RNA". The record is from RNAcentral. Lineage: Eukaryota; Viridiplantae; Streptophyta; Magnoliopsida; Poales; Poaceae.